This 253-nucleotide ribosomal RNA is filed under the name uncultured bacterium. Its description in RNAcentral is "partial 16S ribosomal RNA". It matches the Rfam family "Bacterial small subunit ribosomal RNA", at positions 524 to 776 of the family's 1533-position model. The record is from RNAcentral.
UACAGAGGUGGCAAGCGUUGUUCGGAAUUACUGGGCGUAAAGGGCGCGUAGGCGGCCUUCUAAGUCGAACGUGAAAUCCCCGGGCUCAACCCGGGAACUGCGUCCGAUACUGGAAGGCUUGAAUCCGGGAGAGGGAUGCGGAAUUCCAGGUGUAGCGGUGAAAUGCGUAGAUAUCUGGAGGAACACCGGUGGCGAAGGCGGCAUCCUGGACCGGUAUUGACGCUGAGGCGCGAAAGCCAGGGGAGCAAACGGG